RNAcentral lists this transfer RNA (72 nucleotides) under Myxococcus fulvus. RNAcentral describes it as "tRNA-Met". Lineage: Bacteria; Pseudomonadati; Myxococcota; Myxococcia; Myxococcales; Myxococcaceae. The record is from RNAcentral.
UGCGGUGUGGGGUCGGUGCCCCACUGGGCCUCAUAAGCCCGGCCUCCAGGGUUCGACUCCCUGCUCCGCAAC